GACAGAGGUCUCGAGCGUUAGGCGGAAUCACUGGGCUUAAAGCGUGUGUAGGCGGAGUGCUAAGUACCUUGUGAAAUCCCACGGCUUAACCGUGGAACUGCUGGGUAUACUGGUUCUCUUGGGCCACUUAGGGGUUACCGGAACAAACGGUGGAGCGGUGAAAUGCGUUGAUAUCCUCAGGAACACCGGUGGCGAAGGCGACUCACUGGGUCUUUACUGACGCUGAUGCACGAAAGCUAGGGUAGCAAACGGG
This 253-nucleotide ribosomal RNA is filed under the name uncultured bacterium. RNAcentral describes it as "partial 16S ribosomal RNA". It matches the Rfam family "Bacterial small subunit ribosomal RNA", at positions 524 to 776 of the family's 1533-position model. The record is from RNAcentral.